RNAcentral lists this microRNA precursor (98 nucleotides) under Felis catus (domestic cat). Its description in RNAcentral is "mir-544 microRNA precursor family". It matches the Rfam family "mir-544 microRNA precursor family". Lineage: Eukaryota; Metazoa; Chordata; Mammalia; Carnivora; Felidae. The record is from Rfam by way of RNAcentral.
GUCACCAGGGGAUCUUGUUAAAAUGUAGAUUUUGAUUUGGCAAGUUUGGAGUGAAGCCCAAGAUUCUGCAUUUCUAGUAAGCUCCCCGCUGAUGCCAA